This 254-nucleotide ribosomal RNA is filed under the name uncultured bacterium. RNAcentral's name for it is "partial 16S ribosomal RNA". It matches the Rfam family "Bacterial small subunit ribosomal RNA", at positions 524 to 776 of the family's 1533-position model. The record is from RNAcentral.
UACGGGGGGAGCAAGCGUUGUUCGGAUUUACUGGGCGUAAAGGGCGCGUAGGCGGCCAGCACAAGUCAGUUGUGAAAUCUCCGAGCUUAACUCGGAAAGGUCAACUGAUACUGUGCGGCUAGAGUGCGGAAGGGGCAACUGGAAUUCUUGGUGUAGCGGUGAAAUGCGUAGAUAUCAAGAGGAACACCUGCGGCGAAGGCAGCCUCCUGGGCCAACACUGACGCUCAUGCACGAAAGCGUGGGGAGCAAACAGG